Molecule: long non-coding RNA, 1624 nt
Filed under: Citrus sinensis (sweet orange)
Lineage: Eukaryota; Viridiplantae; Streptophyta; Magnoliopsida; Sapindales; Rutaceae
Description: long non-coding RNA (CSIN_LNC003194)
Source: RNAcentral
ACGGGAUUGGCUCCUGAAUGAACCAAGAGCCUUGACAGCUCCAGCUCUCAAGAUGAAUUGGUGGUAGAAAGCCGCAAUUGCUGCACCGAUGAAGGGUCCAACCCAGAAGAGCCAUUGAUCAUCCCAAGCCUUGUCCUUGUUGUAAAUAACAGCGGCCCCGAGACUCCUUGCUGGGUUAAUGCCAGUGCCAGUGAUUGGGAUUGUGGCCAAGUGUACCAUGAACACAGCAAAUCCAAUGGGGAGCGGUGCCAAAACCUUGAGAAAAUAAUUCCAACAACAAGAAAAUCAGAAUAAAUAAAUAAAUAACUAUGCACUUGUGACAUACCAAAUACCCCCCAUUCAUUCUACACACGUGAAGCCCAUAAUUCAAUCUCAAAAAAGUUAUUAAAAAUGGAAAAAAAAAAUGAAUUAAAAUGAAGAAAAGAAAGAAAGAAAGAAGCAAGCUAGAUUCUUCACGGAGUUUCCCAAAAAAGAAGAAAAGGACAGCAGCAUCCUUGUUGACACAUAAAAGGUGUUUCGCCUUUUAGUCAAAUACAAAAUAAUAAACCCACAUCACAGCCACAGCAUCCGCCCAGGACUCAAAAAAGCUUAUUUAUUAGCUGAAGAAUCUUAUCAGUGAAGGGAAAACGCAAAAGCAAAAGAGACACUUCAAAAAGAAGAAUCUACUUGUUGAUUUUCUGAGAAGAAGCAAAACAACAAAAUUAAUUUUUAGUUUUGGCCCCCCAUGCCCCCAUGCACGUGUUAUAUCUCUGUAGCUCUUUACUUAUGGCCACAAAUUGAUGGACCUUCCUGUUCAUAACAUCGUUACCAAACUACAUAUUUUUAUCUGACGGGUCUAUCUGUUAGAAAAAAGGGAAAUAAAUUCCACUUUCCACUAUCCUAAACUUAUUUUUAAUUUCACUUUCUCACCUCAUUAAAAAUUAAUGUGUUAGUACUGACUACCAACCAAACAUGACAUGAUAAUAAUAGAAGUCUUUUUUAGUAUUUCUACCACCUAUGAAUGAAGUCAAGUGAUCAAUAAAUUGAACAAGGAAAAAUAGCCCACGUAAUUAAUAAUGGAUUGGUGCGUAAUUAAUAAUGGAUUGGUGCAUAAUCAAUGCAAGAUUCAGCGUGGCAAAUUUCCGUUUUUCAAAGGAAAAGACAAGACACAAUAUCACAAAAAUAUUUAAAGAGAUAUUCAUGAAUCAUGGCACGUGUUAUGUGUAUGGUAACUAACAACAACAGAUCAUAACUUGAAGCUUAAAUAGAUAUUAUAAUAAUAAUAAUAAUAAUAAUAAAUAAAUAAAUAAUUUUGUCAAAGGUUGUUAAUUAAUUAAUUAAUUAACUAAUUAGUUAGGCUUACGGGGACAUGGGAGUCUCUGGCGCUUCUCUUGGGAUCAGUGGCCGAGAAGACAGUGUAAACCAACACAAAGGUGCCGAUGAUCUCGGCGGCCAAUCCAACGCCUGUGCUGUACCCAUCGGCCAGCUCGUUGGCCCCACCUCCGUACCUUGUGUAGUAAGAUUUUUGGAAAGCCUUGACCAACCCAACACCGGAGAUUGCACCAAGGCACUGCGCCACCAUGUACAUCACAGCACGGACCAACGACACCUUGCGGGCCAAGAAUAGUCCGAACGUCACUGCCGG